AAAAGGAGGAAGGUUGGCAACAGAUGUUAGCUCAGGGUGAAUCUUUCCCUGCCAAAAAAAUAGCAGUUCUGGUAGAGUGCUGGGGUCAGGAGCCGUAUUGACACAUGAUAGUUCAUUAGUGACUGGGGUUACAGAAUUAAACAGAGAGAGGAACAACUGCUUUCACAAGAAAUAAGGUAAUGAAGGGAAAGAUUAGUGUGUGAGUAUCCUUUGUAAACUGUGCAGUGCUGUAUAAAUAAAACUAUUUUCCUUGGCAGAACAGGUCAGGGAGAGACGAGAAGAGAUGGGGUCAAGUCCUUAAGUGGAGGUUGGCCUCGGCGAGUCUUCCGCAUGUGGCAGAAAUCAAGGCAGUGUGAUGGGGACGGGGCAAGACAGACCUGAAAGGACUGUUGAUCAUCUGUGUUUACAAGGACGCACAGCAGGCGACAUGGGGAGGACUCGGCUGUCCCCGACUCUUGUGUAAUGUCAGUGGGCAGCCCAGGCCUGGAAGAGGACAGCAGACCUUGACAUGGGCCAGUACAUAUGGUCACAGCUAAUCAAAGCCCAGAUCCACCUACCCUCAGAAGCUCUACGCGUCAAGGGGAAGAUCUCCAGAGCGGCCCGUGUGGGGCUUCCUGACACACUGGGAGACAAGAAAAAGGGUGCACGGCUCAGAAGCAGCUUGCUGUGGGAGAAGGAGCACAACCUCGUUGAUUUUGCAGAGGCCCAGGGCAGUGGGCCCCCUUCUCCUUCCUGUUCCUGCAUCAAGUGUGGUUUGCUGUCAAGUGGUAGCAGGUUCAGCCACAGUGAAGGGAGGUAGAGGGAGAGGCCCCUUGAGAGCGAGUGGCCCUGCGGUGGGAGCCCCGGAUCUGGAAGCAAACCAGAGGAAGAUUGGCCCAUCAGAACCAAUUGUUAUCAGCCUAGCACUGAGUUCAAAGGCUGCAUUUAGACUCUUCACCGCUCUGAAGGAGAUUCUGUCUC
Long non-coding RNA from Equus caballus (horse), 960 nucleotides. RefSeq lists it as uncharacterized. The record is from RefSeq and is a predicted model, not a curated record. Lineage: Eukaryota; Metazoa; Chordata; Mammalia; Perissodactyla; Equidae.